Phasianus colchicus (ring-necked pheasant) is the source of this 1793-nucleotide long non-coding RNA. NCBI's taxonomy places the organism in Eukaryota, Metazoa, Chordata, Aves, Galliformes, Phasianidae. The record is from Ensembl.
AGAGUGAGAAAGGAAGAAAGGAAAGGGGGAAGGAAAGGAAAAGAGAGGAGGGGAGGGGAGAUGAAGGGAGAGGGAAUGGGGAGGGAAUGGGGAAGGAAGGAAAAAGAGAAUGAAAAGGGAAAUUUAAAAGGGGAGGAAAGGGAAGGGAAUGAAAGGAAAGGGGAGGGGAGGGGAGAUGAGGGGAGAGAGAAUGGGGAGGGGAGGAAAAAGGGAAUGAAAAGGGAAAUUUAAAAGGAGAGGAGAGGAGAGGAGAGGAGAGGAGAGGAGAGGAGAAAAAAAAGAGGAGAGGAGAGAAGAGGAGGGAAGAGGAGGGAAGAGGAGGGAAGAGGAGGGAAGAGGAGGGAAGAGGAGGGAAGAGGAGGGAAGAGAAUAUGAGCUAAAAAAAGUAGUAUUAUUUAUUUAAAAAAAUAAAUGCCAGAAUCCUGGCUAAGAUGUGAAGAGUAUUUUUUUUUUUACCAAGUCUUCAUUUUUAUAGCUGCUGUCUCUUCUCCAUACCGAUUACAGAAUCACAGAAUCACCGAAUGUCUGAAUGGGAUUGGAAGGAAACUGGAAAGCUCAUCUAGUGCGAUCCCCCUGCCUUAGUCCUAGAUUAGGUUACACAUGCAUCCAGGCGAAUUUUGAAUGUCUCCAGAGGAGGAGACCCCACAACCUCUCCAGGCAACCUGUUCCAGUGCUCCAUCACCCUUACCAUAAAGAAGUUCUUCUACAUGAGAUCACUGAGGUUGGGAAAGACACGAUGGAUGACUCCGCCAGUGCAUCUAGGCUGUAUUUCCCAUGGGCAAUGAGUGAGUAAAGUCCAACAGCCCAUUGGAUUUCUUCCAUUGCCUUUCGUCCCUUGCUUGUGCUUUAUUUCUUCUGAAAGUAAGACCUCUCUUUUAUUUCUCUGUUUGUGCUUUUACUGAACAUAGAAGCAGGGGAAAAAAGAAUGAAUGGCAGGUGUCUUAAGUGUAUAGUGAGUUGCGUGCUCGUGGCUCAGUCUGAAGGUGAAGGUCUGCAAAUGGAGCCUUAUGACUGACUGCCACUAUAUGGCGAGCAAUGCAUGGCACUGGCAGCUCCCCCCUGGUUGGGAAAGGGAAGGAUAAGCUGCAGAAAGGAAUUCUUCUGCCUGUGCUGUAUGGGGGUUUGCAAUCAGCAAAGGACUUUGAGUAGGAGAGUGACUGAGCAAUAGAGAAUCUGCCCUUAGCUGGUCUUCAAGGCUUUUUAUUCUUGUGAGCUCUAGGAAGGGGAGAGCAUACAAGGGCAUGCUCAGGGCAAGUGAAGCAUUUUAAAAGCUUUCAGAUUGGAUGUUUUUCUUUUUCCAGUGUUCCAAAAGUAAAAGGAAGUAUGAACUGGAUUUCUCUGAUGAAUGUUCUUAAAGGCUCACAAUAACAGGCAAGCUGUCUGGUUUGUACUUUUCUUUCCUUUCUUUAACUAUCAUCUCUCUUUUCUUUAGCUAUCAGCUGGGUUUCAGAUAAUGAGGUUUGCAUGCAAUUCCUAAAGCAUGUGUGUGGCUCAUCAUUGCACACAGCCCGUCUUUGUUGUACACCACACUCCCACUUACAAACACAGCUGCAGAAGAUAUUUCCAAAGAGUGCUGAUCUGCAAAGAUGUGAGGUUGUAAAGAAUCACUGGAGUACAGACCCAGCUAGAUCCACAAAAGCCUGCAUAUCCUUAUGACUCUGUUUAUAUGAGCAGUCCCAUUAGUGUCCAUGGAAUCACUCUUGGAAGCCAAAUUAAGAAUAUAAAUGCAUCUUCCAGGACAAGGGGAAAUGGCCAGAACCUGCAGCAUAGGAAGUUCCGCACCAAUGUGUGCA